CCACAAACAGUGCCUUUAAAAAGGAUAUGAAAAUCAGUCUUUUACAUGCAAUCCCACCUUGAAAUCCUCUAGCAAAUAAAGAAAAAAAAAGAAGCUCAGUAGCAGAAUGAAGAAAGCUGAGCUGGUCUUCAUACCAACACCAGGUAUAAGCCACCUCCUAUCCACAGUAGAGGUAGCAAAGCUUCUUGUAGACCGUGAUGAGAGGCUUUCAAUCACUUUCCUCAUCAUGAAACUAAGUUCUGACCCCAAGAUUGAUAGGUUUAUAAAUUCAGUGAGUACAGCCUGUAAUCGUAUCCGCUUCAUUGACUUGCCUAAAGAUGAGCCUGAUCCAAACCAACCCAACAUGUUCUUCUUUUCUUUGAUUGAAGCCCAGAAACACCAUGUCAAAGAUGAAGUCUCUAAGCUUGUGUGUCAGUCCGAGUCAAGCCCUGACUCGCCUACACUUUCUGGGUUUGUUCUCGAUAUGUUUUGUACACCAAUGAUAGAUGUGGCGAAUGAAUUUGGUGUUCCCUCAUAUAUUUUCCUUACGUCAGGUGCAGCUUCUCUUGGCCUUCAAUUUUAUGUUCAGGCUCUUCACGAUGAGCAGAAAGUUGACCCUACUGAGUUCAAGGGCUCGGAUGCUGAGUUGGUCAUGCCGUGUUUGGCAAAUCCUCUUCCAGCAAAGGUCUUGCCUUCUCCUAUGCUUAACAAAGAGCGGCUGCCAUUUUUCCUCGGUCUAGCUAGAAGGUUUAGAGAAACUAAGGGUAUUAUAAUAAACACAUUUGAAGAGCUCGAAUCUCAUGCGAUCGACUCCUUUUCUAAAGGUAAUACCCCUCCGGUAUACCCAGUGGGUCCCGUCUUAAACCUUAAUAGAGAUGGUGAUCGUGAUGAGGAGUCUGAUAAACGCAAAGACAUCAAGCAAUGGCUUGAUGAUCAGCCCCUAUCCUCAGUGGUGUAUCUAUGCUUCGGGAGCAUGGGGAGUUUCGGAGUGGAUCAGGUGAAGGAAAUUGCAUGUGGGCUAGAGCAGAGUGGGCAUCGAUUCUUGUGGUCUCUACGUAAACCACCACCGAAAGGCAAGAUGGAACUUCAUCCAAGCGAUUACAGUAAUCCUCGGGAUGUCUUACCUGAAGGGUUUUUUGAUCGGACGGCUAACAUUGGAAAAAUAAUUGGAUGGGCUCCACAGACAGAUAUUUUGGCCCAUCCUUCCGUAGGAGGGUUUGUAUCGCACUGUGGAUGGAACUCUAUAUUGGAAAGCAUAUGGUUUGGCGUUCCAAUUGCCGCGUGGCCAUUAUAUGCAGAGCAACAAUUUAAUGCUUUUAUGUUAAUUGUUGAGUUAGGGUUUGGAGUGGAGAUUAAAAUGGAUUAUAAAAGCGAAUUUCACUCGGAUGGUAAUGAAAAUGUCAUUAGUGCCGGGGAAAUAGAGAGAGGAGUAAGGUGUUUAAUGGAGCUUUGCGAUGAGAAGAGGGAGAAGUUGAAGGAGAUGAGUGGAAAGGGCAGGAAGGCUUUGGAGAUCGGUGGAUCCUCGUUCACUUGGUUAGGUCGUUUCAUUCAAGAUUUGGCGUACCACCUACCAUGAUUAAAUUGUACUCUCUUCGUGUUAUUUAAUACAAAGUCUCUUACUUGAUAUGUUGUCUUUCUUUAAUAUAUAUGUAUUUCUCUGGCCGUCUUCAUUAUUAUUAGUUCUCGAUCUCGUUAUCGAUUUGGAAACUGAUAUUAAAGAAGCUAGAGGUCAUUAGUUGAUUCUAUAAUAAUUAUUUUUAGUAAAAUAGUAAUUUUUCUUCUAUUGAUUUGACGAGAGUCGAACGGAUUUGAUUGAUUUAAUAUUUUAACUGAUUUAACUAAAAACUUUAAAUGUCAAAUUUAUUGAAAUCAGAGUUUUACCAUGCACAGAAAAAUGAUUUGUACAUUGAAAUUUUCACUUUAGCCUUAUUAAGAAAAAACUCAAUGAACUUCAUUUUAAGGAUAAAAAGUUCUUUUUUAUCAGGAUUCAUUUAUCAUAGUUUAAAUGGUUAGGGAUAAAAAAAAGUUUUUUUUAUGUAUAGUAAAAUAAUUUAAAUAUCCUUAAAAAAUAUUAAACUUAUAUAUAGUAGUGGUUUAGUUUUUUUAAUUUUUUAGUACAGUAAAAUAAUUUCAGUAUUUUUAAAAGCAAAAAUGACUAAACUGCUUUCCAGGUUUUAUGUUUUAAUUUCGUUAAAAAAAAUUAAUAUUCAAGUUUGUUUAGGAGUGGUUUUGUAUUUUGAUAAAUAUAUAAUAUUAUUAAAAAACAUUGAUGCUGAACUAGGAUUAAUCCAUGCAUACAAAUUAAAUCAAAUACAAAAGAAAUUUCAUAAAGGAUAAUAAAAUUGUGGUUGUUGAUGAUACAAAGAAGAUGUUUAAAAGUAUUGUGGUAGUUGUUUUUAAUUCAAAAUAUAUUUUUGUUCAUAAAUAUAUAAAAAUAUAUAUAUUUUUUAUUUUAAAAAAUUAUUUUGACACUAGUAUAUUAAAACAACUUGAAAAUAUAUAAAAAAAUAAUUUAAAAUAAUUUUUUUUAAUUUAAUAAAAAACAGAUUGAAAUGUAGAUGUAACAUAUUAUCCUACAGUGAUACGAGAAAGAAGAUGAAAGAGACCAGUAAAACAAGUCGAAAAGCUUUGACGGAUGAAGGAUCUUCAUAUUCGUCAUUUCGUCUAAUUGAAGACAUGAUGGAUAAUACACAUUCAAUAAAUCCUCUAUAACUUUAUUCCUUACUUAGCAUUGAUUUAAAAUGAAACAAAUAUUCACAUACAAGAUCAUACGAACAACAUACUGGAUUUGUUGGACUCAACCAAAAAUUGCUUGAUCAAAAUAGAGCAGCAUCGACGCAUGAUGGUCACGUGCUGACAUAUUAGAAUUCAAUCUUUUCACAUUAUCAGAUACUUGUUUAAAAUAUACUCGCUUGUAUUAUUAACUAGUAUUUCAUUAUUAAAAAAACUAUAUAUCAAAAAUAAAUUUAUAGUAAUGCAUCAAGCUAGAUAAUUUGAAUAAGAUCCCAUUGACAAUAACUUGAUUUAGAUAUACUAAUUGAAAAAACUUACCCACGAUUUUACAGUCCAUUGAUUAGGUUACAAGUUUAUUUUUUCCAACAGCUCCGUUGUACUGUUUUUGUAAGCAUCUAUGGGCUAGUAGCCAUCGAAAUUCUUAAUUUAAAUGCAUGCAUAUAGUUCAUUUCCAGCUGCAAAGCCAUGACAUCACUCUUUAUAGUCUAACCUUCAAUAUAUAUUUCGUUCAAGAUCAUGAUCAACUUCCACGCAUCCCAAGUAGACCACCGUUGUUCUCAACAAGAAACAAAAAUUUCCAGCAAAGAAUGAAGAAAGCAGAGGUGGUGCUAAUCCCCUUACCUGCUAUGGGCCAUAUUGUAGCAGUAGUGGAGAUGUAAUGCAUCCAACUGUUGAUCCCAGCACUACCAAGUACAAUGAGUCACUUGCUGCAUCAACUCUCCCUGAUCGUAUGCGAGUCAUUAACUUGCCCAGAGUUGAGUCCAUAACAUCAGAUACUAAACCCAGUACCUGGCUUAGUUCUUUGGUUGAAGGCCAAAAACCCCAUGUCAAAGAAUAUGUUUCAAGGAUAAGAACACAAUACGAGAUGAAUCCGGACUCCCCUCGUCUUGCUGGGUUCGUUUUUGAUACGUUUGCUACUGGCCUGAAAGAUGUGUCUAAUGAAUUUGGAAUUCCAUGGUAUGUUUUUUCUGCUGCAGGUGCAGCUUUUAUUGGUAGCAUGCUCCAUCUUACGGCUCUUCAUGAUGAGCAGGGAGUGGACAUUACAGAAAUCACGAACUCGGAGGAUGAAUUGGAAAUUCCGAGUUUGGCGAACCCAAUCCCUGCUAAACUUGUGCCUUCCACGGUGUUCGAGAAAUACUCGCUCACAACUUUUCUUGUACAUGCUCGGCUAUUGACCGAAGCUAAGGGCAUAUUGAUAAAUACAUUUUUGGAGUUGGAAUCUUACGCAGUUAAUUCUCUAUCCCAUGGUAAAACCCCUCCUGUAUACCCGGUUGGUCCCAUUGUGAAACAUAGUGGAGUUGGUUCUGAUCCGCUCUCGGAUGAGAGCAACAAUUCUAGGGACAUCAUGGGAUGGCUUGAUGAUCAACCUCCGUACGUCAUCCGUUAUGUUUUUACGCUUUGGAAGUUGGGGAAGUUUUAAAGAGAACCAGGUGAAAGAGAUUGCAUUUGCACUUGAGCGUAGUGGGCAUCGGUUCUUAUGGUCUCUACGCAAACCUUCACAGAACGGUAAAAUGAAAUCUCCCAGUGAAUAUGAAAAUUUUCAAAGCAUUUUACCCCAAGGUUUCUUAGACCGAACGGCUAAGAUUGGGAAGGUAAUUGGAUGGGCUCCACAAGUGGAAAUCUUGUCUCAUUCAGCUGUGCUUCACAUUGUGGAUGGAAUUCUGUACUGGAGAGUUUAAGAUUUGGUGUUCCCAUUGCCACUUGGCCUUUAUAUGCAGAGCAACGAUUUAAUGCUUUUCAAAAGGUGAUUGAGGUAGGAUUAGCUUUCGAAAUUAAAAUAGAUUAUAGAAAGGAUUUUUAUGGUGAUACUGAAAUAAUUGUGAGCAGUGAUGAUAUAUUGAAAGCUAUAAAGAAUGUUAUGGAACAAGAUAGUGAAAUUAGAAAGAAGGUAAAGGAGAUGAGUAGAAUAAGUGAAAAAACCUUGGUGGCUGGAGGAUCUUCAUUUUCUUCACUAGGUCGUCUAAUUGAAGAUAUGGUGGAAAACAUGUCAUGAAUCAAUUGUUUUGAACUUUCCUCUAAGCAAUCUCUAAAAAAAAAAGGAAUAGUUUUCCAUUUUUUUUGCCUAUGAUUCUUUUUAAUUAUAACAAUUUAUGUAUUAAGAAUGAUUGUCAUGGUCAAUAAAUUUGAUCUUUGAACUUUGCAUUUUCUUUAGAAAAACUGUUUUUUUAUCUGUUUUGUUUGCAUUUAAAAAAAAUUCACAAAUAUUUAAUUACAACCAAAUUGAUGAAAAUGUGUGCAAAUACAACCUAUUUGACAACUCCCAUUAGCUACAAUCACUUGAAUAAGGUAUUGUUUGAUAAAAUGAUUGAAGUUCUUUUAAAGUUUGGAAGUUUGGAUGUUUUUAAUAUAAAAAUAUUGAAAAAUCACUUAAUGUUUUUUAAAUUACAGAAAAAACACACACAUUACAUUACUAAACAAUGCACACACCCAAUAAUAAAUAACAAUGAUGUGAGAUUAAUAAUAAAGUUUUAAUAAAUAAACACGUAUUUAUACUAUAGAGAUUUGAGUAGAAUAAAAGAGUGGUCAAGGUCCAAAUAUAAGAUUUUUGUAGAAGUUCCCUUUUAUAAUUUUAAAGUUAUUAUUUCAAAGUAUUAAUGUGUAGGAGCUUUUUGAGAAAAAUAAAUAUAUAUUUUUUGUUAUUUUUAUUUUUUAGUUUAAAAUUUAUUUAUUUUUAUUUUAUUUUUAUUUUCAAUAUUAUUAUGCUUUUCUAGUUUUUAUAUUUUAAAAUAAUAUUUCUUUAUUUUUAUUUUUCUAUUCUAGGGAUUUUCUAGUUUUUUAUAUUGGUCCAUCUAUAAUAUGUACUUUAUCUAAUCCGACUCAACCUGUCGAAGUCAAAUAAUGUGGAUAAUAUGGAUGAUAAUUAGUCAAAAAAUCUAAGAAAUAGAUAUCACAUGUCAAGAUUUUUAAAACCCAAUAAACUUCACCCAACUUGUAUACUCCUUUUGUUUUUAUAUUUGAUAAUUUUUUGAUUGAUUAUUUAUUUAUUUAUUUCUAUUUAGAAAUGUUCCGGUUCUAAAAUUAUCAAGUUAUCGUUAUGUUUUUUUACUAGAGGGGAAGAGUGAGGUAACUAAAAUUUAAUGGUGGGACAAUAUAUGAAAAUUAGAUUUAAAAUUAGAGGUGCUAUGAGACCUUUAAUCUUGGUUGUAAGUUCAUCUCUAACUGCAAACCUAUAAAAAUUAAUAAUAUAAGCCUAACAUGUGAAUAUUUAUAAUAUUUACAAAAAAACAAAUUUAGCCCAACCCUCUUAAUUCCAAAAACAAAUUCAAUUACUCGAAUUUAAAAUUUGUAAAGUAUUAAAAAUUAGAUGAAAUUUAAUUAUAAACUUAAACUUGACCGGCUAUAUCUAUCUAUGAAGAUACUAUCUUUUUUUUCUUAUAAUAGUAUAAUAUUUUUCAACCUUUGGUUCGGCUUGCCAAGCAUGACCGAAAGACUAAAGUAUUGAAACGAUACAUCAGAAGCAAAUUCAGCCUCCCAAGACUCAAAUGCCAAUCUGAAUGCGAGAUGAAAGUAGCUACGUGAAUGUGGUAACCCUUCAGAAUCACAAAGUUAUUGAUCAAGAAGACAAAAAGCAAAAACAUGCCGCCCCUAACCUCUCAAAACCUAAAAAACCGAUCCCCCCAAACCCUAAGCCUAGACUCCAUUACACCUCACAUACCACCCUCCUCACUAACCGUGCCCUCUACAAUAACCGUGCAACUGCUUCUACUUUGCCUACCAUCAUCCCUUCUGCAAAAAUCCCAACAAACAAACAUCUCGAAUACUUAUCAUAAUGUGAGGAUAGCCUCCCAGGACCAUCAUAAUACAAGGACCACACCUUCAAGAAUAAUGAAUAGAGUAAGUUAAGACCACAGUUAUUAAAUCUGGACCGGACCAGCAGGUCGACCGGAGACCCGAUCGACCCGGUGGUUGGACCGGCCCAGGUAAAACAAAAAAUUAUCUAGUACAAAAACCCGGCUAGACCCGGUCGACCCGGCCAAACCCGGAGAAGACCCGGUCUUGUUUAUUUUAUUUUUUUAACCUGUCUUGAAGGUUCGCAUAUACCAUGCCAUUCUACUCUGGCUAUAAAUACAUUUCCGUAAUUUAUGGAAUACUUUGCAUGAGUCUCAAAACUCUCAUCACUCACAUGUUACAUUGGAAAUGAUUUUUGUUUCCUUUUCUUGUCUUCCCCUUCCUUCAACUCACUCGGAGUGAUUACUAUUAAAAAAAGAACUUGAAAUAUUUUUUUAUUUAUUUUGGGUAACAUGUCUUAAAAAUUAUGAAAAAUGAGUAAUUUUUCAAGUAAUUCUGGUUUUAUUAAAAGAAUUCAAUGCUACCUGAAUUAUAUUAUAUAUUAUCUUUUUUAUUUUUUUAAAAAAAAUUAUUUUUAUUUUAAAAAAUAUUAAAAAUAUAUUUUAUUUUUUCAAUAUAGAAUUUACAAUCCUUUAAUAUAUAUAUUCUAUGUUAAAAAAAAAUAUUUUUUCGAUAUGAGAUUUGAAAUCUUUUCGUAUAUAUAUUCUAUGUUUACAAGAAAAAAAGUUAAGUUUUUUUUAAAUGGGAUAAAAAAAUUUUAUUUAAAUACUUCAACUUAAAAGGAUAAUAUAAUAUCUUUUCAGUAUAAAAUUUGAAACCCUUUAAUAUAUAUACUCUAUGUUCACAAGAAAUAAAUCAUUUUUUCAAUAUGGAAUUUGAAACUUUUCAAUAUAUAUACUCUAUGUUCAUAAAAAAUAAAUUAUAUUUUUUCAAUGUAGAAUAAUUUUUUUUUAAUUUAAAUACUUCAACUUAAAAGGAUAACAUAGUAUCUUUUCAAUGUAGGAUAAACAACUUUUUAAAAUAUUCUUUUAAACUUCAUUAUUUACAUUAUAAAAAUUUAUAAUUAUUUACAUGUAUGGUCUAUAUUCACAUGAGUUGUUUCUUAAUUUUUUUUCAUAUGAAAUAUUAAAAUUUUAAAUAUAUUUUUAAAAUUUUUCAGGUUAAUCCAGGUUGACCAGGGUUGACCCGAGUUGACCCAUGAAACCCGGGACCCGGUCCCUUGACCGGGUCAACCCCCAAGUCGGGUUUGAUAACUAUGGUUAAGACCAUAGUUUUCAGACCCGGUCUAGUGGCCGGUCCGGUCCAAGGCUCGGGUUCCAGGUUUUGACCGGGUCAUCGGGUUUUGACCGGGUCACCGAGUUGCCCGGGUCAAAUUUUUUUUAAAAUCAAAACGACAUUGUUUUAGUAAAAAAACAAAAGUUAACGGAUUGCAAUCGAGUUUUUGACCGGGUCAACCGGGUUUUUGACUAGAUCAUACCGAGUUUUUCCUUUUCUUAUUUUUUUAACUCGGUCCGGUUCAGUUCUAGACCAGUCAAAUCCUGGAUCGACCCGUGAAUCUGGACCGCAUUUUAAAACUAUGGAUAAGACUGUCCUUAGUCAUUGUCAAGAAAUAAAUAUAUCGAAAGAGACCGCAAUUAUUGGAUUGAUGAUGGACCACUGUUAGCCAGACUUUUCCCUUCCAAGAUUCCGAUAACAAAGUCACGUAAUUUUUUUCUUCUGCAUUAUCAAAAACUUGUUUAAAAUAUAAAUUUGUUUCUUGUGUUAAUAUCUUGUAUUUCAAUAUUUAAAAAAUGUACAAAUAUACAUUUUUAUGAUUUUAUUGGGCAAGAUAACCUCAUCAAGACCCAUUGAAAAUAAAUUAAUAUUAUUGUACUAAUUGAAUAAGCAUGCCCACGAUUUUCAAACCUAAUAAAGCUGAUAUCAAUUACAAGCUUUUUUUUUCAACCAUAGUUAAAGUUAGCUUGGUCUCACAAAUUUACUUUAAAAACUUAAAAUUUGAUCACCGUUGGUUUUUUUAAUUGAAUCGAACUAGAUAUUUGAUCACCGUUAGUCUUGCAAAUUUAGAUUUUUUCCCAAAUCAAAUGUGAUAACUACUAUUUUUGUGAACACCUAUGGAUUAGUGGCCGUAGAUGUUCUUAAAUUAAAUGCAUGUAUAUAGUUAGCGGCCAGCAAAGCCAUGACAUCACUCUAAUUCUAGAUCUUCAAGAUUUAUAUUUCAAACAAGAUCAUGAUGACUUCCACACAUCCCAAGCAGACCGCAGUUGUUCACAACAAGAAACACAAAUUUCUAGCAAAGAAUGAAGAAAGCAGAGGUGGUGCUAAUCCCCAUACCUGCUAUGGGCCAUAUUGUAGCAGUAGUGGAGAUAGCUAAGCUUCUUGUUCAACGUGAUGAUCGACUCUACACAACUGUGUUGGUAAUGCAUCCAACUCUUGACCCCAGCACUACCAAGUACAAUGAGUCACUUGCUGCAUCAACUCUCCCUGAUCGUAUGCGAGUCAUUAACUUGCCCAGAGUUGAGUCCAUAACGUCAGAUACUAAAGCCAAUAACUGGCUUAGUACUUUGAUUGAAGGCCAAAAACCCCAUGUCAAAGAAUAUGUUUCAAAGACGAGAACUCAAUUUGAGUUGAGCCUCGAUGCUCCUCGAAUUGCUGGGUUUAUUUUUGAUUCGUUUGCUACAGGACUGAAAGAAGUGGCCAAUGAAUUUGGGUUUCCAUGGUAUGCUUUCUCUGCUCCAGGUGCAGCUUUUCUUGGUUGUGAAUUGCAUCUUCAGGCUCUUCAUGAUGAGCAGGGAGUGGACCUUACUGAGUUCAAGAACUCGGACGUUGAGUUGAAAAUUCCGAGUUUAGCGAACCCGCUUCCUGCUAAACUUUUGCCUUCGGUUUUGUUUCAGAAAGAUUCGCUCGCUAAUUUCCUUGAGCAAGCAAGAGCAUUGGCUGAAGCCAGAGGUAUUUUGGUUAAUACAUUUUUCGAGUUUGAAUCCAAUGCGGUUAACUCUCUUUCAAAUGGUAAAACCCCUCCAAUAUAUCCGGUGGGACCGAUUGUUAAACAUGAAACAGACUGUCAUGAUGUGGGUUGGGAUGGGAGCAAGAAGCACAGAGACAGAGACAUCAUGGAAUGGCUUGAUGAUCAGCCUCCAUCAUCAGUUAUGUUUUUGUGCUUUGGAAGUCAUGGAAGUUUUAGGGAGAAACAGGUGAAAGAGAUUGCCUGUGCACUAGAGAAUAGUGGGCAUCGAUUCUUAUGGUCGCUACGUAAACCUCCACCGAGAGAAAAGUGGGAACCCCCUAGUGAUUAUGCAAAUUUUCAAGAAAUCUUACCGAAAGAGUUUUUAAACCGGACAGCUAAGAUUGGGAAAGUAAUCGGAUGGGCACCUCAGGUUGACAUAUUGGCUCAUCAAGCGAUAGGAAUGUUUGCUUCGCAUUGUGGAUGGAAUUCUAUACUAGAAAGUAUAAGGUUUGGUGUUCCAAUUGUCGCCUGGCCAUUAUAUGCAGAGCAACAGUUCAAUGCCUUUCAAAUGGUAAUUGAGUUGGGAUUAGCCGUGGAAAUUAAAAUGGAUUACAGGAGGGAUUUUCAUGGUGAUAAUGAAAUAAUUGUGGGUGCUGAUGGUAUAAUGAAAGCAAUAAAGCAUGUUAUGGAGCAAGGUAAAGAAAUAAGAAAGAAGGCAAAAGAGAUGAGCAGAAUAAGUGAGAAAACCUUGAUGCCUGGUGGAUGUUCGUAUUCUUCUUUGGGUCGUUUAGUUGAUGAUAUAAUAGACAACCAGCCAUGAAGCAACUGUUCCAACUAUGCUCUAAGUUUUUGCUUCAAAUAAGCUACUAUUUGUCAUUUUUUUUAGGAGAAAAAUAUUUUUUAUGUACUCUUGUUUUGUAUAAAAAAAAAAAUACAAUUGAUGAGGUUCUAAAUCCACAUAAGCAUAUGAACUUCUAACCUAGAGGUGAGGUGACUGAUUACUCUGUUGGUAUGUGUUUGAAAGGGUUGUGGACCUGCAAAACAGGUCCUUCUACGGGUGGUGUGGGUUCCCAUGUGUGUGAGUUGUGGAAAAGUGGUGCGUGUGUUGAGGUUGAAAAAGAAAGGGUUGUCUGUCGCGAGAUUGGAAUCUUUUAUUUAAGAGUUUAUUAUGAACAUUUUAUAUAUCCAACUUCCAUAGGACUGAAGAUAGAAUGAGAAAAACUUUGAUGAAUCUAUCAUUAGAGAUCAUCAUUUAAGAUUAUAGACUGUAAUGUAUUUUAUGGGACAAAGCCGUUUAGGCCGAGUACUCCCCGAGGCAGUGCAGAUCAUUACAGCAAAUUUAUGUGAAAGCGGAUGGUCAUUACAGCAACUGAUAAUUCCCACUAGCUUCGAUCACUUGAACAUGACAGUAGAUGAAGUUUCACGGCAAAGGGUACCAAAUGGAUCAAAUUUGGCACACAUUUAAGUCAAAUUGGAUGCAAUUGGCCAGAAAGGAACUCGAAGGUCUGAGUUAAUUUUCAGAUAUAAAUAUAUAAUGAUCUUCGGAUCAGUACUGUUGACUGCAUUCAAAAUUAUACAAAUACAAAAGACAACGCUAUAAUUGGCUAGCAUGAGUUUUUAAUGAGUCUUUUGAUUAUUAUAAAAAGAAAAGAAAAGGAAAGAAAGAAAGGAGCACACCCUCACAACCAAUAUCAUGCCAGUCUUCUUAGAUUUUAAAAGCUAAGAUUUAUUUUCUCUUACGGUGGCUUGGUUUGGUAUAGAAUUCGUAUAGAAUAGACAAAUAAUCAAACAUGGCCAGUAAUUAUCAUGACUAAUGAGUUGGACUAUUGUGACAAAUGAUCCUUCUAGCUAGAGUGUUUUUCUAGAAGGCGUGUGUUGUUUCUCUCGGACAUCCAUGACGGCCGGUUAUGAUACAAAAACUUCCAAGUAGACGUUAAAAUAAUUUGGUGGAAAAAUAUGUAAAAUUCAAUAUCAAGAAAUCUCAACAUUCAUUUUGAAGUUUCUCUGUAUUAAUUCUAACUUUUCAACUUAAUUUAAUUGGGUUGAAAAGUCCAUCCAUCACACAAUAAAAUAUAUUUGUUAAAGAAUAAUUGCAUGACAAAAGUCAUGGUUUAAGCAUAGAAUAUAAACUUCUUUAGCAACAGGAAAUGAGAAAUCAGAGGUGGUGUUUAUCACUCCACUUAAUGGAGAAAGCUAAGAUUUUUGUUCAAUGUCUUAAUAAUGCAUCCAACUCUUGCCUAAAGUGCUGCCAAAUACAACGGGUCACUUUCGACAGCAAUUCUGCCCACCGUGAGUUGAAACUUCUCAGCCAUCGAAGUCAUGACACAUAAAUCUAAAUUUUGGCCUCCAAUAUGAUAUUUGAAACAAGACCUGCAGCCACAUAUAUUCUAUCAAUCAAUAGUUCAGCUUCAUUUUCUAGUAAAAUAUUUGACUAUAUAUAAUUAUAUGUCCGGAAAUCAUUCAAACAAAGCAUGAACAAUAGCUUAGCAACAAAAUAUUUUUUAGGAAUGAAGAAAGUAGAGGUUGUGUUCAUCCCUUUACCUGCCAUGGGCCAUAUUAUAGCAGCGGUAGAGAUGGCUAAGCUUAUUGUUGAAAGUGAUGAUCGAAUUUCCGCAAGUGUCCUCAUGAUGAAGCCAGCUCUUGACUCCACCACCACAAAAUACACUGAGUCACUCACUGCAUCAACUCUACCCAAUCGCAUGCGAGUCGUUGACUUGCCCAGUCUUGAGCACACCGGUGUGCACAACACUAGUGCUAGCUGGAUGGCUUCUUUGGCUGAAGCCCAAAAACCCCAUGUCAAAGAAUUUGUUUCCAAGAUCAAGGCUCAGUCAGAGUUGAGCCCUCAUGACUCUCCUCAACUUGCUGGGUUUGUUUUGGAUACUUUUGUUUUGGGAAUGAAUGAUUUGGCUGCAGAAUUUGGUGUUCCCUGGUAUGUUUUCUCGGCUUCAGGUGCAGCUUUUAUCGGCUCGAUGUUGUAUCUUCAGGCCCUUCAUGAUGAGCAGAAAGCGGAUCUCCCUGAGUACAAAGACUCGGAUGCUGAGUUGGAAAUUCCAAGCUUGGUGAACAGGCUUCCUGCUAAGCUCCUGCCUUCUAUGGUGUUUAAAAGAGAAUCUCUCCCUCAUUUUAUUGGUGCUGCAAGAAGGUUGAAGCACGCAAGGGGCAUUUUGAUAAAUACAUUCAAAGAGUUAGAAUCACAUGCAAUCAACUCUCUUUCUAAUGGUGAAAUCCCUCCUGUAUAUCCGUUGGGACCAAUUGUGAGAUGUAAAGGAAAUAGCUAUGAUGUGGGUUCAAAUAUUAUCAACGACUACACGGACAUAAUGCAAUGGCUUGAUGAUCAGCCUCCGUGCUCGGUAGUGUUUUUGUGCUUCGGGAGUUGGGGAAGUUUCAGCGUUGGUCAAGUGAAAGAGAUUGCAUAUGCAUUGGAGCAAUGUGGACAUCGAUUCUUGUGGUGUCUGCGUAAACCUCCAUGCAAGGGUAAGAUUGAAUCACCAAGUGAUUAUGUAAAUUUUCAAGAAAUCUUGCCUGAAGGGUUUUUAGAUAGAUCAGAUAAGAUAGGAAAGGUGAUUAAAUGGGCUCCGCAAGUGGAAAUCUUGGGGCACAAAGCUGUUGGAGGAUUUGUAUCACAUUGUGGAUGGAAUUCUACCUUAGAAAGUAUUUUGUCUGGUGUCCCAAUGGCAACAUGGCCAUUGUAUGGAGAGCAACAAUUUAAUGCUUUUGAAAUGGUAAUUGAGCUAGGGCUAGCAGUGGAGAUUAAAAUAGAUUCUAGAAGGGAUUUUUCUAAAGAUGGUAUAAUUGUGAGUUCUGAUGAUAUAAAAAGAGGAUUAAAGUUAGUAAUGGAGCCUGAUAACGAGAUUAGAAAAAAGGUGAAAGAGAUGAGUCAACUAAGCAGGAAAGCUUUAAUGGAAGAUGGGUCGUCAUACUCUGCAUUGGCUCAUCUGAUUGAAGAUAUUAUGGGCAACUAUAAGUAGCAUUGUAAAUCUAAGUACCGAAAUUGUAAUAAGAUAAUAAAUAAAAGUUCAAAUUACUUUAAAUAUAGUGGAUCAUCCCUUGGCAUUAAUUUGGUUUAGUUAUCUAAAUUAAUAAUAAUAUUUUUCCAUCCGUUUGGUUGGAAUUUUUCCAGUCAUUUGGGCUUUUAGCUCAAAAUUAUAGUUUGGGCGGCUGGAAUUUUCAACUGGACAACUAAUAUUGAUCCGGUCUGUUUAAUUCUGACUUAGCACACCUUUUAUAUAUAUAAUUACUUAUAAGCAUACGCAAGGUUUUUUGUAUGCAGAGCAAACACCAUUAUAUAUGCUGAUGACACUAUGUAUUACCAGCAUUUUUUUUUUGUUUUAACGUGGGUAUCCGGGCCAGCUUGCGCGCACCUCGACUAAUCCCACAGGCCCUGAAGUUAACGACCAUGUAAGCCUCCAGUGGCCAUCAUAUGAGCAACCACAGGGCUCGAACCUGAGACCACAGAGGGAGCAAACCUCUUGGUCCCAAACUCUUACCACUAGGCGUAUUACCAGCAUUUUUAUCUAUAGUAUACAUGGCAUAAUCCAAUAACCAAUAAUAACUAUGAAUAGCCAAUAGUAACGCAUAAAUUUUAAAUUAUUGAGAAUUUAGCUUUUUAAUUGAACUCAGGUUAAGAAUUUUAUGGGUUGCAAGUUUUGAAAAUUAACCCAAAUUUAGAAGGUUCAUUUGGAUUUGCUUGGCUUUUUUAUUAUUUUUUUCAGCUCAAGUUUUUUUAAAAUUUUAUAAAUAAGCAUUUAUUCAAUUGGAGAUUAGAUUCUUUUAUUUUUAUUUCUUUGUUUUCUAUAAAAAAAAUUUAUUAUUUUUGAAAAUGACUCGGGUUAUUGGGUUAUCUUAGUUAUUUUUAUUUAUUUUUCUUUGUUGAAUUUACUUUGAAAAAAAAAUUAAUUGAUUUUUUUUCGAUUUCAUCCUUCAAUAUUAGAUUGGUUGGGAAUUAAUUUUUUUUUCAGUUCAAUCCUUUACGGUUAGAGUUUUUUUAUAUUGGACUUCAUGAUUUUUUUCGAUUUAUUUUCUAUUCGAUUAUCUCAGUUCUAUCAUUUAGAGACCAUAGGUUUGGUGGGUUAGCCUAUGUUGACUUAGGGUUUUUUAGGAUAUUUUUUUAUUUAAUAUUUUUCAUGUUUUAUUCUUCAACAGUACUAGGUUGUUUUAGAAUUAACCUUUGUAAUCUUUUUCGGUUUGUCUUCUAUUAGGUUAUCUUAUUUGCAUGAUUUAGAUCGCAAAGUUUGGUUAACUCACCCAAUUUGCUUAUUUGUUUUUUUUAUUUUUUAAUUGAUUUUUUUUUAAUUUCAUCAUUCUAUGCUGGAGUUGGACUUUGGUAUUUUUUUACUUUAUAUUGACAUAUCUUGGUCUUAUGACUUAGCUUGAGUAUUUGACAUGCUCAUUUAAGUUGGUUCACAGUGGUUUUUUCUUCUUUUUUUUCUAUUUUUUAUUUUUUUCUUUUUAAUUGGCUAAAUCUUAGUUUAUAUCAUCUUUUUUUUAUUUUAGCAACUUUUUUUUUUAGAUUCUCAUGAUUUGUUUUUUAAUUUAAAAUGAUUUAAUUUUUAUUUUAUUAUCUAAUUAAAUUAUACCAAUUUCUUUCUUGAUGUGAACCCACAAAUCUAGCAGACAUUGAAAAUCGAGAAAAUUAAUACUUCUCAAAUUUUCAAAUCCUUCUCAAAUAAUAUAGAAAAUUAACUCUUCUUAAAAGAUGAUUAAUUUGGUAUUGUUUCGUUCACAAUAUAAUUUUAGUUGAUCCUUGUUGAGAAACAGAAUUCCCUAAGAAAUUGUGUGUACCCAAAUGACUUGAGAAAAUAGCUGACAGACUCUGCGUGUCUCUGUUUCUAUUGAAUUGUAUAUUAUUUCCUCUAUAAUUAUUUAGGUCUUCCUUUGUAUGCAUAACCAAUACAGCAAGAGUUAUAUCCUUGUACGGAGAAGUAUUUAAAAUAAUCAAUAGAAAACACAUUACUCUAACAUAAACAUAUAUUCGGUAAUAGAAAAGCAUUUUCCAUUUUCUUUUUCGGUUUUGUUCUUUUAGUUUUUAUUUUCACAAAAAUUAAAAAAAUUAUUUAUUUUAGCAACUCAGAAAACUAUAAAAUAUAUUCAUAGUGUUUUAUAAGGAGAAAAAUGACAAAGUAAUUAUUGUGUUCAAAUUAAUUUGUUUUUCUAGACAUUCUUUAUAUUUUAACAUAAACAUAUAUUUGUUUCUCAUCUUAAAUAUCUCAUUCAUUUUUCAUUUAUUUAUUAUUGUUUUGAGGGAAAAGUUUUUAAUAUUAUAUUUCUCUCUGAUUAAGAGACUACCUCCUAUACUAACACCUCUAAAACAGAACCUGAGAAACGACCGAGAAAACCCAAUGAUACUCAAUCCUCAUAAUAAAAAGAAAAUACCAUAAAUUUUAUCCUCAAUAAUUAUAAAAAAUCUAUAUUACAACUCUCCUCUUAAAUAAUGCAAAUAAAAUCCUAAAUUAACUAGAAAAUUAUGAUCAAUCCCAGUAGUAUAUUUUGGAGGCCUUAAUUUGUAGAUUUAAUGUUUGUGAAUAUAUUAGAAUAUUAUCUAUGAAUUUAAACUCUAGAUUUAAGAAAAAAAAUCAAAACUUAAAAGAAAAGGAAAUUACUAAAAUAUAAGGUUAAGAAAAAUAUGUAAAAAUCUACAAAUUUCAAAUUUAAAACUUUUUAUUUUUACAAUGAAUUUUAAAAGUUAAGAGGUUGAAAAAUUAAUUUUUACCAUUAUUAAUAUUUGCUUAGUCAUUAUAAAUUAAUGAUUAAAUCUAAAAAAAUUAGAGUGUUUUUUAGUAAGAAAACCAAAGAUUUUUAAAAAUUAAUUUUUUAUUCACUCAUAAUUUAUUUAAAUUAUUUUAAUUAAGAUAAAUUUCCAACAUAACUACUUCAUAUGGCUAAAAAAAAAAAUUAACCUUAUAGGAAUGAGAAUUUCUAGAUUCUACGUCAUUAAUACGGUUAAUUGUGGCAGAUUUUGUGCCACACCCACAAAGCCAGUCAAUGCCAGCAAAGCCACGCAAUUGUUCACUUUCCAACAAGAUCAGUUCCAACAUUAUAUGGUCCAGACAAAAAAACACCUAAAGAAUUAUCUCUUCCAAUUUUAUGCCUACUCCAUUCCAUAUUUGAUCUGUCUGUAUAGUACAAAGUAAUUGCAAAAUCUUUGCAAAUUGCAACCAAAAUGAAGAUAGCGGAGCUGGUGUUCAUCCCAUUUCCAGCCAUGGGCCAUGUGGUACCAGCAGUGGAAACAGCUAAACUUCUUGUUGAAUUUGACAAUCGAGUUUCCACCACUGUUCUUCUAAUGAAACCAGCUAUUGACUCGAGUACCAUCAAGUAUACCGAGUCACUUGCUGCAUCAACUUUGCCUGACCGUAUGCGAUUCAUUGAAUUGCCUUCUCUUGAUGAACUCAGAUCAAGAAAAGGUAUUUGGCUAGAUUCUUUGAUAGAGGGUCAAAAACCCCAUGUCAGAGAAUUUGUUUCGAAGAUCGUUUCAAAGUCCGAUCUGAGCCCUGACUCGCCUCGACUUGCUGGAUUUGUUUUUGAUGCGUUUUGCACGGGAAUGAAAGAUUUGGCCGAUGAAUUUGGUGUUCCCUGGUACGUUUUCUCUUCCUCAGGAGCAGCUUUUCUUGGUUGCUUGUCAUAUUUACAGGUUCUUCAUGAUGAGCAGAACAUGGACAUAACUGAGUUCAAGAACUCAGAUGCUAUGUUAGAAAUUCCGAGUUUUGUGAACCCAAUGGCUGCUAGGCUUCUGCCAUCUAUGACGUUUAGGAAAGAUUCGGUCCUUGUUUUGGUCGGCGCUGCUAGAAGGUUAAGGGAAGCUAGUGGUAUUGUUGUAAAUACAUUUAUAGAGUUGGAAUCCUAUGCAGUUAACUCCCUUUCUAAAAUUGGCAUCCCACCGUUGUAUCCAGUGGGACCCAUUGUGAAUGUGGGGUCAGAUAAAAGCAAUGACAAUAGAGAAAUUAUGGAAUGGCUUGAUGAUCAACCCCCAUCAUCUGUAGUGUUCUUGUGCUUUGGAAGCCUGGGAAGUUUUUGUGUGGAUCAGGUGAAAGAGAUUGCAUAUGCUCUCGAACACAGUGGGAAAAGAUUUUUAUGGGUUCUACAAAAACCUUCAAAAGGUAAGACGGAAUCCGCAAGUGAUUUUCAAGAAACUUUACCCGAAGGAUUUUUAGAUCGAACAACUGAGCUCGGAAAGGUGAUUGGUUGGGCUCCGCAGGCAGAAAUAUUAGCCCACCGAGCUAUCGGAGGGUUUGUUUCGCACUGCGGAUGGAAUUCUAUACUAGAAAGUAUAUACUUCGGUGUUCCAAUUGCUGCAUGGCCGAUAUACGCAGAACAGCAAUUUAAUGCUUUUCAAUUAGUGAUUGAAUUGGGAUUAGGAGGAGAGAUUAAGAUAGAUUACAUAGAGGGUUCUAACAGUGAUGGCUAUGAAAUUGUGAGUGCUGACAGUAUAAAGAAAGGAAUAGAGGGUAUAAUGGAGGACGAUAGUGAAAUAAGAAAACGGGUGAAAAAUAUGAGUCAAGUAAGCAAGCAAGCCUUGACUGCUGGUGGAUCUUCACACUCUUCACUGGGUCGUCUAAUUGCAGAUGUUAUGAGCAACAUUCCAUGAAGUAAUUGAUUUUCCUAGAGGAAAUUAUUUUGAAUAAGAUUUUAUAGGUUUAAGCUUCUAUUUAGAGCAGCUUAAUUAAUUGAGGAGCCUUCAGCAUGAGGAGGUUUUUCAAUUUUGCAUUAUUGUAAACUUAAAUUAUUAAGUUUGACAGAUGUAGUGGAGUCAUGAGACAUUUUACAAUUAAGAUGUUAGCUCACAACUUUAUAAUUAGUUUUCCUUCCACUUCUAUAUUAAGUGAAUUAUAUAUAACUGUAAUUAUAUUCAUAACAAUAAUUAUAUAGUAAGAAAAAAGAAUCGCACAUUUAGUUAAUAAAUAAUUUAAUUAUUCAAUUUAUAUUAUCAACAUUUUUUUUAGAAUUCAUUCUUCAAUCAAAAAUUAUAUUUUUUUUUUUUCAGUUUAGCUUUUAUUCUUUUGAUUUUUUUUUUACUGAUUUUUUUCUUUUUAAUUUAGCCCUCCAAUUUAAUUUUUAAAUGCCUUCAAAUUUAUUUUUUAUUUUGGUUUCCACCUUUAUUUUUUUUAUUUUUUAUGUGGUUGAUUUUUUUCAUAGUUACAUUCUUCGAUGGUUGAUUUAUUUGGAUUAAUUAAGCUUCACAGUUUUUUCAUUUGUCAUGCUUCUAAUUUAAUAACUACGGUCACAACUUUUAAGUGUUAAUACAAUUAGUAAUUUUUUUACCUCAUUUUAUUUUAUGAUUUUAUCAUUCUACAUUAUUUAAAAAAUAUUGUUUUGUGGUUACUUUCAUAUUUUUUUAUAUUUGUCUAUCUCGGUAUCAAUACAUAAACCACGGGUUUUGUAAAGUUGUUUUUGAAUAAUGGUUUUUUUGAAAGAAAAAAAACUGUUUUGUUUUGUGUUUAAUUUUUGCUAAUUUUUUAUUUUACUUUAUAAAAGUAGGUUUUGUUUUGUACAAAAAAAAAUAGUUAUUUUGAAAUAAUAUUUAUAAUAUGUUCAGCUAUGCAUAAUUAAUGAACAAAUUUAGUGGACACAAAUAAAUAAAUAUCUCAUUUUACAAGAUCAAAUAUCUUAAUCUACGUCUAUUUUUUAACUUUUCCUGUUUCUAUUUUAGUUAUUGUUAACAAAUUAUUUAUUUAUUUAAUCAUUAGAUGUUUGGAUAAAAAAAUUUUAUUUACACUUAUAAUUUUUAUUAUGUAAGAAAAAACAUUUCAAAAUAGUUUGUAUACUCAAGCUUUUUUAUGUUUUGAGAAAAAAUAUUACGACCCGCUAUGGAGCACAAAUCAAAUCAAAUUUUUAGUUGCCCUCUAAUUAAUUCUUUUUUCACCUUUAUUUUUUUAGAUCCUUUUGUGUAAUUGAUUUUUAUUUUUGAUUUCAUCUUUCAAUAUUUAAUUUGUUGGAGAUUCUGCUUCAUAUGAUCUUAUCAGUCUGCAUUUGUUUUUUUUAAAACAAUAUUAGUUUUGUAAUUAUCUUUAAUUUCUUUUCUAUAAAUUUAUUUCAUUCAUAUAAUUCAGGUCAUGGGUUUUGCAUGCCUUUUUUUAAUAUAAGUUUUUUAUAGAGUUGUUUGGUUUGUGUUUGGUUUUUCAAAAUGUUAUCCUAAUUCAUCUAGAAUUUUUUUGGGGUUUUAUACAAAUGAGGUUUAUUUUUUAAAAUAAAAAAUAUUAAUUUAAAUAUUUUUAAAUAAUAUUUAUUGAUGUAUUUUGGCCUUGUAUAAUAUUUUUUUUGGGUAUGAGUUUAUUUAGUCAAUUUUAUUUGUGUUUAUCUUUUAAGUCAUGAGUUUUUUAGGUUGUGGAUUUAUCUUUUAUUAAUUUUAAUAAACAAGUGUAUUAAACACAAUCACGUGAAUGUCUCAUUUUGUGUGGUAAAAUAUCUUGAUUUACAUCCAUUUCUCAAUUUUAUCAAUUUGUUUUUGGUUGUUGUUAAUGAUUUUUCGUUUAUUUAUAUAAAUAAUUAUUAAUUUAUUUAAUGAGAUAUUUACAUAAAUAUUUAAAUUUCAAAUUUCAAAUUUUUUUAUAUUAAAAAACAUCUACAUAGCGAAUAUUUAAAAAAAAAAUCAUAACAUGUGGCAAAGCGCGGCUUAAAUGGCUAUUCGUGUCCCAUUUGUUGAAACUUCACACUCGAAGAUGAUAUUUGAAACAAGAUCAGCCAUUCAUAUAUGCUAUCAAUCAAUAAUUCAGUACUUUCAUUUUCUUGUAGAAUAGUUGGCUAUAAUUACAUGUCCGGGAAUCAUUCAAACAAAGCAUGAACACUAGCUUAGCAACACCAAAUUUUAGCUAUGAAGAAAGCAGAGUUAGUGUUCAUCCCUUUACCUGCCAUGGGCCAUAUUAUAGCAGCAGUAGAGAUUGCCAAGCUUAUUGUUGAACGUGAUGAUCGAAUUUCCACAAGCGUCCUCAUAAUGAGGCCAACUCUUGACUCCACUACCACCAAAUACACUGAGUCACUCACUCCAUCAACUCUACCCAAUCGCAUGCGAGUCGUUGAUUUGCCCUGUCUUGAGCACACCGCUGUACAUAACACUGGUGCUAGCUGGAUGGCUUCUCUGGCUGAAGCUCACAAAAACCAUGUCAAAGAAUUUGUUUCCAAGAUCAAGGCUCAGUCAGAGUUGAGCCCAAAUGACUCUCCUCGAAUUGCUGGGUUUGUUUUGGAUACUUUUGUUUUGGGAAUGGAUGAUUUGGCUGGAGAAUUUGGUGUUCCCUGGUAUGUUUUCUCGGCUUCAGGUGCAGCUUUUAUCGGCUCGAUGUUGUAUCUUCAGGCCCUUCAUGAUGAGCAGAAAGCGGAUCUCCCUGAGUACAAAGACUCGGAUGCUGAGUUGGAAAUUCCAAGCUUGGUGAACAGGCUUCCUGCUAAGCUCCUGCCUUCUUUGGUGUUUAACAGAGAAUCUCUCCCUAUUUUUCUUGGUGCUGCAAGAAGGUUGAAGCACGCAAGGGGCAUUUUGAUAAAUACAUUCGAAGAGUUAGAAUCGCAUGCAAUAAACUCUCUUUCUAAGGGUGAAUCCCUCCUGUAUAUCCGUUGGGACCAGUUGUGAGAUGUAAAGGAAACAGCUAUGAUGUGGGAUCAAGUCAAAUCAACGACUACAAGGACAUAAUGCAAUGGCUUGAUGAUCAGCCUCCAUGCUCAGUAGUGUUUUUGUGCUUCGGGAGUUGGGGAAGUUUCAGCGUUGAUCAAGUGAAAGAGACUGCAUAUGCAUUGGAGCAAUGUGGACAUCGAUUCUUGUGGUGUCUGCGUGAACGUCCAUGCAAGGGUAAGAUUGAAUCACCAAGUGAUUAUGUAAAUUUUCAAGACAUUUGCCUGAAGGGUUUUUAGAUCGAUCAGUUAAGAUAGGAAAGGUGAUUAAAUGGGCUCCGCAAGUGGAAAUCUUGGGGCACAAAGCUAUUGGAGGAUUUGUAUCACAUUGUGGAUGGAAUUCUACCUUAGAAAGUACUUUGUCUGGUGUACCAAUUGCCACAUGGCCAUUGUAUGGAGAGCAACAAUUUAAUGCUUUCGAAAUAGUGAUUGAGUUAGGGUUAGGAGUGGAGAUUAAAAUAGAUUCUGGAAUUGAUAUUAUCGAAGGUGCUAUCGGAGAAAUUGUGAGUUCUGAUGAUAUAAAAAGAGGAUUAAAGUUACUAAUGGAGAAUGGAAGUGAGAUUAGAAAAAAGGUGAAAGAGAUGAGUCAACUCAGCAGGAAAGCUUUGAUGGAAGAUGGGUCUUCAUACUCUGCAUUGACUCGUCUAAUUGAAGAUGUGAUGGACAACAUAGCAUGCCACGAUUGCUCUUUGCUGUCAUGAAAAUAGAUUUACAAACGAUGUCGCAUUGUGAAUUUACUUAACCAAUGAGCAGGUAGCUAGCUCAAUGGUUAUCUCAUGCCACCAUGAGAGAUAAUUAAGUUUUAAGAUCAAGUUUAUUUUGAUAGAAAUUCUACUUAAAUAUUAAAUAAAACAGAGUUAUAAGAAGAUGUUGAUUAUGAUUUAUUCAAAGCAAAUAAGGAUCCAAAGCUUUAUUCAAGGCAAAUUAUGCAAUGCCUUUUCAUCGACUUGUGUGUCUCUAUGGAGGUAAAUUGAGGAGAAAAUAACGUUUUUUUUUUUUUCUCACCCAACCAUCCAAGUAAAUUGAAAAGAAGUAGUAAAAACUCGAAUAACAUUAUAAUGCAAAACACGAGAAGAUUUUGUUAGCUCAAUGAUAAAAGAGAUAGAGAUGUCAUAAGACUUCAAAAGAAAAGAAAGGCUAUGUAAAAUCAAAGCAGCUCACGGCUGCUUUUUUUUUAUACUUUACAUUAUUCCCGUGAAUAAUUUUUUAAAAAAAAAAAAAACAGUACAGUAAAUUAUAAAUUCACUUAUAUUGUUCACGUUCACGUGAACAAUAAUUUUUUUUAAAAUAAAACUAAUGUAGAUUGAAUUAAAUUCACUCGCACUGUAAUCUCAAUUUUAUUGCUAAUAAUAUUUUAUCUAAUUUUAUUGGAGGCUCAAAAAAUCAUGAAAAUUGUACUUCUUGUCGGAUGAAUUUUGUAGGUAAUGAAAUUAUAGAUAGUUUAAUGGAACAAUAAAAAAUAUUUUAUAUAAAGUAUUAUUUAUUUCAUGAUGUAAUAGGAGUAGUUAAAUUUACAAUAUUUAAAUUUAAAACCAUUAAUAUUAAUAUAUAUAUAUAUAUUAGUUAUUUUAUAACCUCAAUUUAAAAAGUAUUCUUAAUCAAACACAAUAAACUACUUUUUAUUCAAACUCAAUUUUAACCAUAAUUUUAACCAAACAUAUAUAAAUAUCAAAUCAAUCUCAACUAAAAGUACUUUUUAUAAAAUAACUUUUUUCAAACCACAACCAUAAAAGCUACUAUAAUAUCAAACACAUAUACGAAGAAUGGGUUAGCUGUUAGAUUUACAAAAAGAUAUCAUUGAAUUACAAAGGAUGAUAUGAUAAUUUUUUUUAUUUGAAGGACUAAAAAUACAUUAAAGAAAAAAAAGAAUAAAGAAAAGAGAUGAGUCAGCUAGGCAGGAAAGCUUUGAUGAAAGAUGGGUCUUCUUCAUACUCCGCGUUGGCUCAUCUGAUUGAAGAUAUGAUGGAUCUAAAUCUAUGUUAAGAAACUCUAAUUAGAUAUUAAGUUUGUGUUUGUAACUUUGACGGAAGAUGAUUUUUAAAAUAUUUUUGUUUAAAAAUAUAUCAAAAUAAUUUUUAUAUUAACAAAUUAAAAUCAUAAAAAAAAAGCAUUGAAAAAAAUAUUAAAUUAAUAUUUUUUUAAAUUAAAUAUAUAUUUAAAACAAUAAUAAUAACAAUAAUUUUCUAGCUAUUUGGCCAAGCUUAAAUGGUUAGCCGUCCAACCAUCUGUGUCAUCUGUCAUGCCCCGAACAAUUGGAAUUUUUCUAGCCAUUUGAGCUUUCAGCUCAAAAUCCUAACCCCCAUGGUUAGAAUUUUCAGCUCCAUAUUUGAUAUUAACUUGAAAUAUCUAAUUUUAUCUUUAUUAUAUAUCAAAAUAAUUUAAAAAUAUAUAAAAAAUUAAAUCUUUUAAAAAACACAGUCUAAUCACUGCACCAACUUUGCUAAAAACAAAUUAUAAAAAACUGGAUAUAUAUAUAUAUAUAUGAGACCUUGAUUUCAUUUCGUUUUUUCAAGCAGGCAUUGAAAAUCGAGGUAAAUAAUACUUGUCAACUGUUUUUUAAUUAUUUUUAUAUCAUUAUACAUCAAAAUAAUUUAAAAAUAUAAAAAAUAUUAAUUUUUUUUUAAAUAUACUCUAAUCACAACCCCGAACACCAACUUUAUUAAAAAAAAAUUAGAAAAAACUGUACGAGAGAUAAUAUAUAUAUAUAUAUAUAUAUAUGAGACCUUGCUUUCAUUUCGUUUUUUUCAAGGGGCCAUGACAUGACAACUGAGCAGGCAUUGAAAAUCGAGGCAAAUAAUACUUGUCAAGUUCUCCAAUCCUUGUAGAUGAAAAGGAUGGUUAGACAGUUGAAUUUGGAAUUAUUAUAUGCAGUAGCAGUGACCUUAAUCAAAUUUCUAGGAGUUAUCAUAUGAUGCCGAAGCAGUGACAUAGAUCGUACAGCUUCACUCUCUCUCUCUCUCUAAAUAAAUAUGAUUGUGGAUAUAUUCAUUGAAUCUUAGGGAAAUGUUCUGGCCAUCAAUUCCUCGCGCAGCGUGCAGCGACUUCAACUGGAUGUUUACUCGUAUUAAAAUACUAGAAUUAACUUCAAGUUUUUGUCUUUUCGAAGAAGCAGUUCUCAGAUGCUAUGUUGUCCAUCAUGUCUUUUAUUACUUGCGUGGUUGCUUCUGCCUUUGAAGUAAUCAGACCAACUCACCUGUUUGGUAAUGCUACAACAGCAGAUUUUGGUGGAGUCUACUGUUAAUUGUGGCACGGCCACAAAUUUGCAAGAAGCAGCAAUUUGCCAAUCCUUGUAGAUGAAAAGGAUGGUUAGACAGUUGAAUUUGGAAUUAUUAUAUGCAGUAGCAGUGACCUUAAUGAAAUUUCGAGGAGUUAUCAUAUGAUGCCGAAGCAGUGACAUAGAUCGUACAGCUUCUCUCUCUCUCUCUCUCUCUCUCCGAAUGAAAACGAUUGUUCAUAUAUUCAUUGAAUCUUGGGGACAUGUUCUGGCCAUAAUUCCUCGCGCAGAGUGCAGCGACUUCAACCGCAUAUUAGAGGGAAAUGUUAUCUCUUUAUUAUUUUUCUUAUCAUCUAGAGAUUUCAAGGUUUUGUACUUUAUGAAAGGACUUUCGUAGUGUUGUUUAUGAAUGUGGUUAAAAUACUGUUCGGUAAAAAUUUUAAAUAAAUUUUUUAUAUUUUUUAAUUGUUUUAAUGUAUUACUAUUAAAAAUAUAUUAUUUUAAUAUAUUUUAAAAAAAAGAAAAUUACUAUAUUAAGACUAUUUCUCUUAAUGAAUUUUACCAUCGAAAUAUAGAAGAUUAACUCUUCUCAAAAGAUGAUCAAUUUGGUCCUCUUUCCUCACCAUAUAAUCUUAGUUGAUCUUUGUUGGGAAAAUGAAUUCCCUAAGGAAUUGUGUGUACCCGAAUGACUUGAGGAAGUAGCUAUCAGACUCUGCUUGCCUCCAUUUAUAUUGGAUCGUUUGAGCUGUAUUAUAUACUAUACAGGACUUCCUCUAUACGCAUAACCAAAAGGGCAUCAAUUGUAUUUUUGUACAGAGAAGUAUAGUUGAAUUUCAUAAAAGAGAUCUAAAUUUAAAUUUCUGACAGGGACGGCAUCGCAUUUUUUUGGGUCUUCUUGACGAAUUGUAAAAGCAGUCCACAAUCACAGCAAAGCCAUGACCUCACUCUUAUGCUUGUCCUGCACGUUUAUAUUUUUGAACAAUAUAUUGCCAAUCUCAAGUCCACUUAUUUUACAACAGGCCUUUAAAAAGGAUAUGAAAAUCAGUCUUUUCCAUGCAAUCCCACCUUGAAAUCCUCUAGCAAAUAAAGAAAAAAAAAAGAGCUCUGUAGCAGAAUGAAGAAAGCUGAGCUGGUCUUCAUACCAACAACAGGUAUAAGCCACCUCCUAUCCUCAGUAGAGGUAGCAAAGCUUCUUGUAGACCGUGAUGAGAGGCUUUCAAUCACCUUCCUCAUCAUGAAACUAAGUUCUGACCCCAAGAUUGAUAGGUUUAUAAAUUCAGUGAGUACAGCCUGUAAUCGUAUCCGGUUCAUUGACUUGCCUAAAGAUGAGCCUGAUCCAAACCAACCCAGGAAGUUUCUCUUUUCUUUGAUUGAAGCCCAGAAACCCCAUGUCAAAGAAGAAGUCUUUAAGCUUGUGAGUCAGUCUGAGUCAAGCCCUCACUCGCCUUCUCUUGCUGGGUUUGUUCUUGAUAUGUUUUGUACAUCUAUGAUAGAUGUGGCCAAUGAAUUUGGUGUUCCAUCAUAUAUUUUCCUUACGUCAGGUGCAGCUUGUCUUGGCCUUCAAUUUUAUGUUCAGGCUCUUCACGAUGAGCAGAAAGUUGACCCUACUGAGUUCAAGGGCUCGGAUGCUGAGUUGGUCAUGCCGUGUUUGGCAAAUCCUCUUCCAGCUAAGGUCUUGCCUUUUUUUAUGCUUGACAAAGAGUGGCUGCCACUUUUCGUCGGUCUAGCUAGAAGGUUUAGAGAAAGUAAGGGUAUUAUAAUAAACACAUUUGAAGAGCUGGAAUCUCAUGCGAUUGACUCCUUUUCUAAGGCCAAGGGUAAUACCCCUCCGGUAUAUCCAGUGGGUCCCAUUUUAAACCUUAAUAGAGAUGCUGAUUGUGACGAGGAGUCUGAUAAAUACAAAGACAUCAAGCAAUGGCUCGAUGAGCAGCCUCUAUCCUCGGUAGUGUAUCUAUGCUUCGGAAGCAUGGGGAGUUUCGGUGCGGAUCAAGUGAAGGAAAUUGCUUGCGGGCUAGAGCAGAGUGGGCAUCGAUUCUUGUGGUCUCUACGUAAACCACCACCGAAAGGCGAGAUGGAACUUCAUCCAAGCGAUUACACUGAUCCUCGGGAUGUCUUACCUGAAGGGUUUUUGGAUCGGACGACUAACAUUGGAAAAAUAAUUGGAUGGGCCCCACAAACAGAUAUUUUGGCCCAUCCAUCUGUAGGAGGGUUUGUUUCGCACUGUGGAUGGAACUCUGUAUUGGAAAGCAUAUGGUUUGGCGUUCCAAUUGCCACAUGGCCAUUACAUGCAGAGCAACAACUUAAUGCUUUUAUGUUAAUUGUUGAGCUCGGAUUGCGAGUGGAAAUUAAAAUGGAUUAUAGAAGAGAAUUUAACUGGGAUGGUAGUGAAAAUGUCAUUAGUGCCGGGGAGAUCGAGAGAGGAGUAAGGUGUUUAAUGGAGCUUUGCGAUGAGAAGAGGGAGAAGUUGAAGGAGAUGAGUGGAAAGAGCAGGAAGGCUUUGGAGAACGGUGGAUCCUCGUUCACUUGGUUAGGUCGUUUCAUUCAAGAUACGGUAGACCACCUGCCAUGAUUAAACUGUACUCUCUUCGUGUUAUUUAAUAAAACGCUUGAGUCUUUCUAGGGCAGGACCUAACUUUAUAUAUUCUAUUUGGGUUGGCAAUCCAGCAAGACCAAAUCUCAAUAUAUAUUAAAAAAAAUACAAAAAUAUUAAAAAUAUUAAUUUGAAGUAAAGAAAACAAUAAAAAAUAUUUAAAAAAUUUUCAAAGCAUUUUUUACACCAAAACCAAACAUGUUUUAAUAAGAAAAUUCAACUCAAUAAAAAAAAUUAUCAUCACCUAAAGUUUGUAUAAUGUAAAACAAAAUCAUAUUAAUUUAUUUUCUCAUUACAGUAUGAAAACAAAUCAAUAAGAGAAAAGAAAAGAAAAUUCAAGAGGAAGAUAAUUUUUUUUAUUUGUUAAAAAUUAUUUUUUAUAUAAUCAUGUCAAAUUAAUACAAAAACAUCUUAAUAUGAAUUAAGGAAAAAUAAUAAUUUAAAGUAAAGAAAAAAAUAAAAAAAUUAUCAAAUUUUUUUCAAAGCAUUGUUGAAAAACAAAAACAAAAAUGGUUUAAUAAGAAAAUUCAACCCAACCUAAAACUAAAAAAAACUUUAUCAUCACCUAAUUUUUUUAGAAUAUAAAAAAACAAUAUUGGGUUCAGCUGCCCUGGCAAACCCAAGCCAGACCCAACCUCUUUUUUGGCACUUUUUGGAAGUGUUUUGAAUCUAACUUGUCAGCCCGGCCCAAUAGUGUUGGGCCCAGCUACCAAGCCCCACCUAACAACUUUUUGCAGAGAAGGCAACGCCCUCAGCCACAAUUUUUUACCAAAAACACAGAUGAGAAUCGUCUCUUAAGGCGCUGCAAUAUUGUCCACAUUGAAAGCAAUCUAUACCUAUAAUGUCGUCUACAAUGCAAUGUGUCUGUGUCCACUCCCAUAUGUUUUGAAAGAGCCCAGCAGACAGUAAAUGCAACUACCUGUUGGAUCUUAUAUAAUACAAAAAUAUAAAGUAUAUUAUGUGAACGAAAAAAUUAUUUGGAAUUAUAAUUUUUCUGAAAGCUUUUAUUUUGAAAAACAAAUUCAAGAGGGUUCUUUGAAACCCUCGGAUUGGAUAUUUUGACCAAUAAAAAACAUUUCACUUCACCAAAAAGCAAAACAAAAGUUUUUAACACUGAUACAACCCUAUCCAUGAGAAUCGAUUAAAUUUUCAGGACAAGUUUGUUUAAAACAAACAUCAAAAUGAUUUUUUGAAUAGCUUUACAACUUAUCUUUCACACAGCCUUGUCCCUAAAGAAACCUAAACACUUGAGAACAUGAUCAAACUGAGAGGCAAUCCAACAAACACAUAAUAGGGUUGAUGCAGAGCUGGCAACCUUUAUAUAAAGGUUUGUGGGCAAAGAAAUAUGCUGAUGUGAUACCCCUCCUAGAGGUCAAGAUCAUAAGAUGUGACUCUAGUAAGCAAAAGUAAAGAGUCGUCAAAGCUUACUAUCAAAGAUUCAAAUUUUUUAGAAAAGGAAAACUCCAUAAGAAAAGGAGACAUAUAUUUCUUAGGUAAGUAUACAUGCAUUUCAAUCAUGAUACAUUGCUUCCAUCAUUUGAUAGAUCGGUGUCUCACCAUCACCUCUUUUUGAGUGCGUUAUUGGGCCCUCAUCAUUCAGCUAGUACACUUUACAGCCCUACCUUUUUUUUUCCUUUUGAGUAUGCCUUCGAGCCCUCCACCACUUAAGUUUUGUACUUUGCAGCCCUACCUUUUUCAAUUUGAACAUGCUUUCGAGCUCUCCACCAUAUUAGGUUUUGCGCUUUACAGAUCUAUAUUUUUUCCUUCGAGUGCGUCUUCAAGCCCUCAACCAUCUUGAGUCAGGCAUUUUCUAACCAAACUUUCUUUUGAGUGCGCCUAAGAGCCCUCGACUACCAUGAAUAGUGCGUUUUCAAACCUCUUUCAAUUCUUUUAGAAAAUACUUUUAAAAUGUAAAAAUAACAUGGCGUUAUCUUUUUAUUAAUUUUCUCAUCCUCUAGUGGUUUCAAGGGUUUUGUACUGUAUAAAAGGACUUUUAUAAUAUUUAGGAAUGUGGUUAAAAUAUUGUUCGGUAAAAAUUUAAAUUUAAUUUUUUAUAUUUUUUAAUUGGUUUAAUGUAUUACUAUUAAAAAUAAAUUUAAAUUUUUUAUAUUAUACCCUAUACAGGACUUCCUUUAUACGCAUAACCAAAAGGGCAUCGAUUGUAUUUUUGUACAGAGAAGUAUAUAAAGCAAUUAAUGAAAAACACGUACCCCUAAAUCGAAAUACUUCAUAGUUGUUUUCUCCAUACAAUUUUCUCCUUUUCGUUUUAUUUUCAAGUAUGUUUAAAAACAAAUUUUAUAUAUUUCUUUGUCUUGAAGAAGAUACUGUUCUUGCAAAUUAAAAAAAAAAAAAACUCAUCCUGCAUUUACAAAGCAAGAAAAUAAUGUCUUUGAAUAACAAGUAGUUUUUAUUGAAGAUCAUGUAUUAUCUUAAUUUACAAAAUCAGGAUGUAUCUCCAUCAGAAAGGAGAAAACCAUUCCUUCCUAAGUUAUUUUAUAUUAAAAUAAAUAUUUUUUUAUUUUUAAAAUAUUAUUUUUAAUAUCAACACAUCAAAACAUUCUAAAAUAAUAAAAAAAUAAUUUUUAACAAAAACAAAAUUCAAAAUUCAAAAUUCAAAAAAUCAUAAUUUAAUCCGCAUUACCAAAGAUAACCUUCAUUUUCUUUUUCAAACGUUAGUAUGCAUGAUUUCUGCAAUGCCUUUUAUUUGUCAGGUAAAGUGAAACUUUCUACGCAAAGAAACUUUUAGUAAAUAAAGAAAGUGGAGAUGGGCCGGGCUUUCCUCGUACAAACUUGGAGCACAUCGCAUGUGGAUACGAUCAGGAGAAUGUUGGAUCGGUUAAGCCCAUAUUUUGUCUUAGGCCUAACCAAUGCUUAUUUGAUUAUUAGAAAUUUGAAAUUACAUUAUAUAUGUAAAUCGAACUAAUCGUAUUAUUACUUUGCAUUAUUUCUAAAAAUAUCAUCUUUCCUUCAAGAACUGUCCCUUUUCACUAAGGGCAUUUAUUUAUUUAUUUUUAUUAAAAUAUAGGUGUUAUUUGGUUCUAGAUUAAAUUUUUUUUAAAGAAAUUCUUAGAGUUGAUGUGUCUAGGUGUGACCUAGUUAAUAGGGUUAUUAACCAAGUUGUUUUGAGUGUAUAUAUAUAACUUGAACUUGGCCCAGAUCAAAUUUAAAAUCCUUGCUUUUUAAAUUAAUUUAUCAAGUUAAAUUAAGUUUAAUCAUUAUGACAUUUGGUUUUUUUUCUUGAUUUAAAGUUCAAGAUUAGUGUUUAUUUUCUAACUGAUACAAGAUGAUGUGUUUUUAAAGUUAUUCGUAACCUAAAUUUAAUCUCUAUUAACAUAAAUCCUAAAGCAUCAAUAUAUAUAUAUAUAUAUAUAUAGAAAAUUCAGCCCAAAAUAUGUAGUAAAAAACGUUGUCUUCUACUUUGAAUUUCAUAAAAGAGAUCUAAAUUUAAAUUUCUGACAGGGACGGCAUCCCAUUUUUUUGGGUCUUCUUGACGAAUUGUAAAAGCAGUCCACAAUCACAGCAAAGCCAUGACCUCACUCUUAUUCUUGUCCUGCUCGUAUAUAUUUUUGAACAAUAUAUUGCCAAUCUCAAGUCCACUUAAUUACAGCCACAAACAGUGCCUUUAAAAAGGAUACGAAAAUCAGUCUUUUACAUGCAAUCCCACCUUGAAAUCCUCUAGCAAACAAAGAAAAAAAAAAGGAGCUCAGUAGCAGAAUGAAGAAAGCUGAGCUGGUCUUCAUACCAACACCAGGUAUAAGCCACCUCGUAUCCACAGUAGAGGUAGCAAAGCUUCUUGUAGACCGUGAUGGGAGGCUUUCAAUCACCUUCCUCAUCAUGAAACUACGUUCUGACCCCAAGAUUGAUAGGUUUAUAAAUUCAGUGAGUACAGCCUGUAAUCGUAUCCGGUUCAUUGACUCCUAAAGAUGAGCCUGAUCCAAACCAACCUAGGAAGUUUCUCUUUUCUUUGAUUGAAUCCCAGAAACCCCAUGUCAAAGAAGAAGUCUUUAAGCUUGUGAGUCAGUCUGAGUCAAGCCCUGACUCGCCUUCUCUUGCUGGGUUUGUUCUUGAUAUGUUUUGUACAUCUAUGAUAGAUGUGGCCAAUGAAUUUGGUGUUCCCUCAUAUAUUUUCCUUACGUCAGGUGCAGCUUUUCUUGGCCUUCAAUUUUAUGUUCAGGCUCUUCACGAUGAGCAGAAAGUUGACCCUACUGAGUUCAAGGGCUCGGAUGCUGAGUUGGUCAUGCCGUGUUUGGCAAAUCCUCUUCCAGCUAAGGUCUUGCCUUCUGUUAUGCUUAACAAAGAGUGGCUGCCAAAUAUGCUCAGUCAAGCUAGAAGGUUUAGAGAAAGUAAGGGUAUUAUAAUAAACACAUUUGAAGAGCUGGAAUCUCAUGCGAUCGACUCCUUUUCUAUAGGUAAUAGCCCUCCGGUAUAUCCAGUGGGUCCCAUUUUAAACCUUAAUAGAGAUGGUGAUUGUGACGAGGAGUCUGAUAAAUACAAAGAUAUCAAGCAAUGGCUCGAUGAUCAGCCUCUAUCCUCGGUAGUGUAUCUAUGCUUCGGAAGCAUGGGGAGUUUCGGUGCGGAUCAAGUGAAGGAAAUUGCUUGUGCGCUAGAGCAGAGCGGCCAUCGAUUCUUGUGGUCUCUACGUAAACCACCACAGAAAGGUAAGAUGGAACCUCCAAGCGAUUACACUAAUCCUCGGGAUGCCUUACCUGAAGGAUUUUUGGAUCGGACGGCUAACAGUGGAAAAGUAAUUGGAUGGGCUCCACAGACAGAUAUUUUGGCCCAUCCAUCUGUAGGAGGGUUUGUAUCGCACUGUGGAUGGAACUCUAUAUUGGAAAGCAUAUGGUUUGGCGUUCCAAUUGCCGCGUGGCCAUUAUAUGCAGAGCAACAACUUAAUGCUUUUCAAAUAAUUGUGGAGUUAGGGUUGGGAGUGGAGAUUAAAAUGGAUUAUAGAAAGGACUUGUACUCGGAUGGUAAUGAAAAUGUCAUUAGUGCCGGGGAGAUCGAGAGAGGAGUGAGGUGUUUAAUGGAGCUUUGCGAUGAGAAGAGGGAGAGGUUGAAGGAGAUGAGUGGAAAGGGCAAGAAGGCUUUGGAGAACGGUGGAUCCUCGUUCACUUGGUUAGGUCGUUUCAUUCAAGAUACGGUGGAUCAACUGCCAUGAUUAAAUUGUACUCUCUUCAUCUUGUUUAAUACAAAGUCUUUCAGCUGAUAUGUUGUCUUUCUAUAAUAUAUAUGUAUUUCUCUGGUCUUUUUUUUUUAAUAUGAAUGUCAGAACCUUCUUUAUUAUUAUUAGUUCUCGUGAUUGAUUUGAAAACUGAUAUGAAAGAAGUUUAGGUCAUCAGUUGAUUCUAUAAUAAUUAUUUUUAUUAAAACAGUAUUUUUUUCUUUUAUUGAUUUGACGAGAGUCGAACAGAUUUGAUUGAUUUAAUAUUUUAACUGAUUUUAACUAAAAACUUUAAAUGUCGAAUUUCUAAAGGCCAAGCUGAUAAACUUCUAACAGACUACCAAACAUAUGUGGUGUGUGUGUGUGUGUGUGAAAUUAUUGUAAUUAAAAAAACAGUUGAAGAAGUAUUGUCAUAGAUUUCGGCAAACCUAGAAAACAUAGUAAAAUUACAUUUGAUUUGUACAUUGAAAUUAUCACUUUAGCUUUGUCAAGAAAAACUCAAUGCAAUUCAUUUUAAAGAUAUAAAAGUCUUUUUCAAUAUUAGAGACGAAAGGCCUCUCUUUUUUCAUAGUAAAAUUACAUAAUUAUUCUUAAAAAUAAAAAAAAAUAUUAAACUUAAUAUAGUAGUGUUUUAGUUUUUUUUUUUUCUCAACAUAGUAGUAGAAUGAUUUUAGUAUCUUAGAAAGCAAAAAUUACUAAACUUCUUUCAGGUUUUUUGUUUUAAUUUCAUUAAUUUUUUUUAAUAAUAAUCAAGUUGAUUUAGGACUAAUUUUAUAUUUUGAUAAAUAUAUAAUAUUAUUAAAAAAAUAAUGAUUUAACUGUGAUUAAUCCAUGGAAAUUAAAUCAAAUACAAAAAAAAAUUUAUAAAGGAUAAUAAAAUUAUGGUUGCCGAUGAGGGGAGGGUGUUUUAGAAUAUGGUAACGUUGCUUUUCAAAGUGUUUUUCGCUUAUAAAUUUAUUAAAAUAACAUAUAUAUCUUUUACUUUUGAAAAAUUAUUUUUGACAUUAACACAUUAAAACAAACAAAAAACAUAAACAAAAAAUUUUAAACAAAAAAAAAAUUUUUACCAAAAAAAAAAUUAAACCAUCCAGUCAAACACACCCAGAACAAAAUAAAGCAAGAAGAUGAAAGAGACGAGCAAAACAAGUCGAAAAGCUUUGAAUAAUGAAGGAUGUUCAUAUUCGUCAUUCAAUCGUCUAAUUGCAGACAUGAUGGAUAAUACACAUUCAAUAAAUUUUCUUUAACUUUAUUCCUUACUUAGCCUUGAUUUAAAAAAUGAACCCUGUAAGAAAGGGAAAAAAUUAAUUAAAUUCGAUUAAGGCUUAAUCCUCUUUUUUGUCACAGAUUUCCUCUUCUAUAUCUCAAAGAAUCGCUCUUCUCUUUCUCGCCGUGCAUCCAACAAUGAUAAAGGCACUUUCCCCUGCAACCCUUGACCUGCAAAAAUCAGCAAAAAAACCCCAUCAAUUUAAACAUUUGAUUUUUUUUUUUUUUUGGAAUGAGAGAAUCGCACGAACUUAACAAAAAAAACCUCAUCUUCCGAAAACAAAUCCCAAACGCAAACAUCAUUGCUGCUAUGUGGAGAGGGGAAAAAAAGUGAAAAAAAAUCAAGCAAUGCUCUCUCUCGGCAACAGAGAGGAGAGAAUAAGAUAAAACAAACAAGCUGUGGACAGGGGAGAGAGAAAGUGAACAAUUGACAAAGUAAUUGUAGUUGUAAGAAACCCACCAUUUCCUAAUGAGAUAUCCAUCUACAAAACACACCCGUCAGGAAGAAAAAAAUUGUAAUUGGCAAGACAUCAAGCCCACAUAGAAUAAGCCUGGUGCCUUGCAACAAAGACUAAGAAUUUUAUAUAUAUAUAUAUAUAUAUAUAUAUAUAUAUAUAUCAUAAAAAUGACAUCUUAGCAAUGAAAACUACAAUUAAAGUUGAUUCUGUUUUAAUUUUUUUUUGUUAACAAAAUUUAAUUUCUCCAAUAUUAUUGACAGGCAAUACUCAGCGGGUCAGGUUAAAUUUUGUUUAAUGUAAAAAAAUAUUUAAGCAUUGCUGCUUUUUCUAGUAGAAAAAAAUUGAUUCGAUGUAUCAAUGAUUUAAACCAAAACAUAGAUCUAGAUAAUAUAGAAUAUAGUUGUUAGACUCCGUUCACUAACAUAUUAAAAAAAAAUUUGAAUCCCCAAUUAUCAAGAUUAAUUUGUAUGUUACUAGCUUCCAUGUCAAUUAUUUUUAUUAAAAUAUCAGUAUUAUUUGGUUCUAGGCUUUUUUAAAAAAAACAAUUCUUAGUGUUGAUGUUUCUAGGUGAGUUAUUAACUAAGUUUUUGAAAAAAAUUAAAAUCACUACUUUUUCAAAUUAAUUUAUCAAAUCAUAUGAAGUCAAAUCAAGUUUAACCAUUAUAAUAUUAUGAUAUUUGAUUUUUUUUUCUUCAUUUAAAUUUCAAGAUUAGUGUUUAUUUUUUAAAAAAAAUACACCGAACUGAUAUAAAGAUAGAUUAUGUGUUUUUAAAGUUAUUCAAAACCUAAAUUUAAUCUUUAUUAACAUCAAUCUAUAUAUAUAUAUAUAUAAAAGCAUAGAAAAUUCAGCCCAUAAUAUGUAGUAAAAAACGUUGUCGUCUUCUACUUUGAAUUUCAUAAAAGAGAACUCAAUUUAAAUUUCUGACAGGGACGGCAUCCCAUUUUUUUGGGUCUUCUUGACGAAUUGUAAAAGCAGUCCACAAUCACAGCAAAGCCAUGACCUCACUCUUAUUCUUGUCCUGCUCGUAUAUAUUUUUGAACAAUAUAUUGCCAAUCUCAAGUCCACUAAUUACAGCCACAAACAGUGCCUUUAAAAAGGAUAUGAAAAUCAGUCUUUUACAUUCAACCCCACCUUGAAAUCCUCUAGCAAACAAAGAAAAAAAAAGGAGCUCAGUAGCAGAAUGAAGAAAGCUGAGCUGGUCUUCAUACCAACACCAGGUAUAAGCCACCUCGUAUCCACAGUAGAGGUAGCAAAGCUUCUUGUAGACCGUGAUGAGAGGCUUUCAAUCACCUUCCUCAUCAUGAAACUACGUUCUGACCCCAAGAUUGAUAGGUUUAUAAAUUCAGUGAGUACAGCCUGUAAUCGUAUCCGGUUCAUUGACUUGCCUAAAGAUGAGCCUGAUCCAAACCAACCCAGGAAGUUUCUCUUUUCUUUGAUUGAAGCCCAGAAACCCCAUGUCACAGAAGAAGUCUGUAAGCUUGUGAGUCAGUCGGAGUCAAGCCCUGACUCGCCUCCUCUUGCUGGGUUUGUUCUUGAUAUGUUUUGUACAUCUAUGAUAGAUGUGGCCAAUGAAUUUGGUGUUCCAUCAUAUAUUUUCCUUACGUCAGGUGCAGCUUUUCUUGGCCUUCAAUUUUAUGUUCAGGCUCUUCACGAUGACCGGAAAGUUGACCCUACUGAGUACAAGGGCUCGGAUGUUGAGUUGGUCAUGCCGUGUUUGGCAAAUCCUCUUCCAGCGAAGGUCUUGCCUUCUGUUAUGCUUAACAAAGAGUGGCUGCCAAAUAUGCUCAGUCAAGCUAGAAGGUUUAGAGAAACUAAGGGUAUUAUAAUAAACACAUUUGAAGAGCUGGAAUCUCAUGCGAUCAACUCCUUUUCUAAAGGUAAUAGCCCUCCGGUAUAUCCAGUGGGUCCCAUUUUAAACCUUAAUAGAGAUGGUGAUCGUGAGGAGGAGUCUGAUAAACGCAAAGACAUCAAGCAAUGGCUUGAUGAUCAGCCCCUGUCCUCAGUAGUGUAUCUAUGCUUCGGCAGCAUGGGGAGUUUCGGUGUGGAUCAGGUGAAGGAAAUCGCAUGUGGGCUAGAGCAGAGCGGCCACCGAUUCUUGUGGUCUCUACGUCAGCCACCACCGAAAGGUAAGAUAGAACCUCCAAGCGAUUACACUAAUCCUCGGGAGGUCUUACCUGAAGGAUUUUUGGAUCGGACGGCUAACAUUGGAAAAAUAAUUGGUUGGGCCCCACAGACAGAUAUUUUGGCCCAUCCAUCCGUACGAGGUUUUGUCUCCCACUGUGGAUGGAACUCUAUAUUGGAAAGCAUAUGGUUUGGCGUUCCAAUUGCCGCGUGGCCAUUAUAUGCAGAGCAACAACUGAAUGCCUUUCAAAUAAUUGUUGAGCUCGGAUUGGGAGUGGAGAUUAAAAUGGAUUAUAGAAGAGAGUUUAUCUCGGAUGGUAAU
RNAcentral lists this long non-coding RNA (36167 nucleotides) under Populus trichocarpa (black cottonwood). Its description in RNAcentral is "long non-coding RNA (PTRI_LNC003562)". Lineage: Eukaryota; Viridiplantae; Streptophyta; Magnoliopsida; Malpighiales; Salicaceae. The record is from RNAcentral.